RNAcentral lists this ribosomal RNA (253 nucleotides) under uncultured Bellilinea sp. RNAcentral describes it as "partial 16S ribosomal RNA". It matches the Rfam family "Bacterial small subunit ribosomal RNA", at positions 524 to 776 of the family's 1533-position model. Lineage: Bacteria; Bacillati; Chloroflexota; Anaerolineae; Anaerolineales; Anaerolineaceae. The record is from RNAcentral.
AACGUAGGAGCCAAGCGUUAUCCGAAUUCACUGGGCGUAAAGCGCGUGCAGGCGGAACUGUAAGUUGGAUGUAAAAUCUCCCGGCUCAACUGGGAGAGGCCGUUCAAUACUGCAGGUCUAGAGGGCGACAGAGGGAGGUGGAAUUCCGGGUGUAGUGGUGAAAUGCGUAGAUAUCCGGAGGAACACCAGAGGCGAAGGCGACCUCCUGGGUCGCACCUGACGCUGAGAUGCGAAAGCUAGGGGAGCGAACGGG